Small nucleolar RNA from Pogoniulus pusillus (Red-fronted tinkerbird), 133 nucleotides. RefSeq annotates it as small nucleolar RNA SNORA9. Lineage: Eukaryota; Metazoa; Chordata; Aves; Piciformes; Lybiidae. The transcript has a single exon. The record is from RefSeq and is a predicted model, not a curated record.
AUGCAAGCAUUCCAGCAUGGGGGGGUCUGAGGUGGCCCCAUCAUUCCUAUAGUGCUUGCCAGAGCAGCAUUGGGAUGGUUUGAGGCCUCUCCCCGCUCACCCCAGGGAGUGGUUAUAGGAAUCCUGGACAUCC